CCCAAGUUGAUAGCCAUCGGCGUUAAGCGUGAUUAAAGUUCUAUAUAAAUUAGGGUUAAAUUAAUACCUAGUAGUAAUAAGCUUGUCAUUAAGAAAAUCACAAACGAAAGUUACCCUAAUAAAUACUUGAAUACACGACAGCUAGGAACCAAACUGGGAUUAGAUACCCCACUAUGCCUAGCCGUAAACAAUUAACUUACACUAACAAACGCCAGGGAACUACGAGCUAUGCUUAAAACCCAAAGGACUUGACGGUGUCCCAUACCCACUAGAGGAGCCUGUUCUAUAAUCGAUGAUCCCCGCUAUACCUAACCAUCCCUUGCUUUAUCAGCCUGUAUACCUCCGUCAUAAGCCUACCAUGUGAACGUCAACAGUGGGCCCAACGGUUCAUAUAAACCAACAUGCCAGGUCAAGGUGCAGCUCACGGAAUGGUAAGUAAUGGGCUACAAUUUCUAAUCUAGAACAAACGGAAGGUUAUGUGAAAUCAUAACAUAAAGGUGGAUUUAGUAGUAAAAAGAAAAUAGAGUGUUCUUUUUAACCCGGCCCUGGGACACGUACACACCGCCCGUCACCCUCUUCAAUAGCUCUCAUCUUAUUUAUAUAAUAUCACAUCUGCGUUUUAGAAGAGGCAAGUCGUAACAUGGUAAGUGUACUGGAAAGUGCACUUGGUUAA
Molecule: ribosomal RNA, 673 nt
Filed under: Amolops wuyiensis (Sanchiang sucker frog)
Lineage: Eukaryota; Metazoa; Chordata; Amphibia; Anura; Ranidae
Description: partial 12S ribosomal RNA
Rfam family: Bacterial small subunit ribosomal RNA
Source: RNAcentral